AAAGCCUGACGGAGCAAGACCGCGUGGGGGAAGAAGGCUCUUGGGUUGUAAACCCCUUUUCUCUGGGAAGAAAGUUGUGAAAGCAACCUGACGGUACCAGAGGAAUCAGCAUCGGCUAACUCCGUGCCAGCAGCCGCGGUAAGACGGAGGAUGCAAGCGUUAUCCGGAAUGAUUGGGCGUAAAGCGUCCGCAGGUGGCAGUUCAAGUCUGCUGUCAAAGACCGGGGCUUAACUUCGGAAAGGCAGUGGAAACUGAACAGCUAGAGUAUGGUAGGGGCAGAGGGAAUUCCUGGUGUAGCGGUGAAAUGCGUAGAGAUCAGGAAGAACAUCGGUGGC
RNAcentral lists this ribosomal RNA (335 nucleotides) under Microcoleus vaginatus. Its description in RNAcentral is "bacterial SSU rRNA". It matches the Rfam family "Bacterial small subunit ribosomal RNA", at positions 378 to 716 of the family's 1533-position model. The record is from RNAcentral. Lineage: Bacteria; Bacillati; Cyanobacteriota; Cyanophyceae; Oscillatoriales; Microcoleaceae.